RNAcentral lists this ribosomal RNA (497 nucleotides) under uncultured bacterium. RNAcentral's name for it is "partial 16S ribosomal RNA". It matches the Rfam family "Bacterial small subunit ribosomal RNA", at positions 28 to 507 of the family's 1533-position model. The record is from RNAcentral.
GAUGAACGCUGGCGGCGUGCCUAAUACAUGCAAGUCGAGCGAACAGACGAGGAGCUUGCUCCUCUGACGUUAGCGGCGGACGGGUGAGUAACACGUGGAUAACCUACCUAUAAGACUGGGAUAACUUCGGGAAACCGGAGCUAAUACCGGAUAAUAUAUUGAACCGCAUGGUUCAAUAGUGAAAGACGGUUUUGCUGUCACUUAUAGAUGGAUCCGCGCCGCAUUAGCUAGUUGGUAAGGUAACGGCUUACCAAGGCAACGAGGCGUAGCCGACCUGAGAGGGUGAUCGGCCACACUGGAACUGAGACACGGUCCAGACUCCUACGGGAGGCAGCAGUAGGGAAUCUUCCGCAAAGGGCGAAAGCUUGACGGAGCAACGCCGCGUGAGUGAUGAAGGUCUUCGGAUCGUAAAACUCUGUUAUUAGGGAAGAACAAAUGUGUAAGUAACUAUGCACGUCUUGACGGUACCUAAUCAGAAAGCCACGGCUAACUACGUG